ACGGGAGGCAGCAGUGAGGAAUAUUGGUCAAUGGACGGAAGUCUGAACCAGCCAUGCCGCGUGAAGGAAUAAGGCCCUAUGGGUCGUAAACUUCUUUUGUGGUGGAGCAAUAAGGUGCACGUGUGCAUCGAUGAGAGUACAUCACGAAUAAGCAUCGGCUAACUCCGUGCCAGCAGCCGCGGUAAUACGGAGGAUGCGAGCGUUAUCCGGAUUUAUUGGGUUUAAAGGGUGCGCAGGCGGCACGUUAAGUCAGCGGUGAAAUGUCGGGGCUCAACCCGGGCACUGCCGUUGAAACUGGCGAGCUUGAGUACGGAUGAAGUCGGCGGAAUGUGAUGUGUAGCGGUGAAAUGCUUAGAUAUGUCACAGAACACCGAUUGCGAAGGCAGCUGACUAAUCCGCAACUGACGCUCAGGCACGAAAGCGUGGGGAUCGAACAGGAUUAGAUACCCUGGUA
RNAcentral lists this ribosomal RNA (454 nucleotides) under uncultured Porphyromonadaceae bacterium. RNAcentral's name for it is "partial 16S ribosomal RNA". It matches the Rfam family "Bacterial small subunit ribosomal RNA", at positions 341 to 792 of the family's 1533-position model. Lineage: Bacteria; Pseudomonadati; Bacteroidota; Bacteroidia; Bacteroidales; Porphyromonadaceae. The record is from RNAcentral.